RNAcentral lists this long non-coding RNA (2334 nucleotides) under Homo sapiens (human). RNAcentral describes it as "non-protein coding lnc-ATP6V1E2-5:2". The record is from RNAcentral. Lineage: Eukaryota; Metazoa; Chordata; Mammalia; Primates; Hominidae.
AGAAAAAGGAUACCCCGUCGGCUCCGGACCCGGCAAAUGUACCUGGGCUCCCCCUGGAGGCCACAUUCUCCGAGGUCGCCUUUCGGUCCCCAAUGUUCCUCAAAGGUAUUCCGUUGUAAUCCCGGAGAACUGAUACACACUAGUGCUCUGAAACUUGGCCUGUGCUCGAGGCGGCAACCCCUGCCCCUCUGCCUGGCGAUGCCGGAACACACCCAUCUGGCCAGGUCCUGUUCACUGGCCAAGAAUGCAGCAUUGAACACUGGGCAUUGGGGCGGGGGUGCACUCUGCGCUGACACCGCACCCCUCCCCUCAACUUGCUGACUAGAGGUAAUCGCUUCCUUUCAUCGAUUCACAGCGUUAGAAAAAUGCAGCAUUGAGAGGCAGCGCGGAGGUCAACUGGACCAUCACCCUUAGGUUGUAGGGAAGAAAACUGAGACCUAGAAAGGUGAAGCGGUUGUCCCAAAGGCUUCCAGCUGCUCCCAGUACUCAAGGACUUGGAGCACACUUGGGGAAAUGCUCACUGUUGUAUUCCCGUUCCUCACUAUCCAGGAGGCCUGAACUCUCAAACUCCGAAUCUGAUUUCCACUCUCCCAGGAAGUCUUCGGAAAUCACUGUGGAUUGUCAAUACAGGAGUCCAUACUGACUGAAUCCCUAAUUUUGGCCUGUAUUCUUCUCCCUCUGUGAACCAUCUUCUUAGAAGUCACUGAACCAAGAGUGCCAGAAAACCAUCCCAAGACUCACACAGAGUUGUUCUUCCAUAGUGGAUGUUUUGGCCACUGGACAUCAGAACCACAUUUUGGGUUUGAAGAAUCUUCUACAUGGUGAGCCUUGGUGGGAAGAAAAGAAUAUCCCUUCCUUAUAGAAGCUGAAAUUACAGACUCUUGCUUUCCUUGUCAGACUUAAAAGCUAGUGUAGCCAGAGUUAAAUACAGGGCACAUUGUCUCUGGAGGCUGCAGCUUUAGUGGUGGGUACACAGUUCAGUUCCUGACCCAGGAAGUGGCACAUCAGGGCAGGCAGUGGUGUUGGUUGUGGUAUAAUUGAGUUCCUGGUUCAGAAGUGACAACUGUACACAUGAGUUGUCUAGGGUUUGGUGAAAGCAAUGGUAUUGAAAGUGGUUUUCUCAUCAAAUUAGUUCCUGAGUCAUGUGUCGGACACUGUUUCUAUCUUGAGCAGCUUCUCUAGCCUUUCUAAAUCCUGUGACCUGCCUGUGAUCCUUUUAAGAUUUCUUUCUGUUUAAUCAGCCACAAACAGCUUCUGUUGCUUGCAACCCAGGCUCCUGAGAAGAGACUGGAGAAGCAGAUCACUUUAUUAAUGUGCUUCAUGUAGAGGGAGUAGAGAUUUCCACCUCUACCAUACCCAAAUAACUGGUAUUGGCUGUACCUUUCUAAUGUGAGCAACUUUAAAAUUGAACAGAAUAUAUGAAACCUCUCUUUUCAGACAUUGAACAGCAUGUAGCACAGCACCGUGAUUCCUGAAAGUAGGGAACAAAUGGGGCAAACCCUAUCACUCUAACUUUCUGCUGAAAAAUGCUGUCUAAAUUGCAGCACAAUGAGGGGGAACCCAAGCAGAGCAUAGUGGUCUUGCUGAGUUGAGGAGAUAGUUGAGCAGACUUUUCAAGGCAGAGUAUCAGAAAGGAGAGAAUAUAACAGCAAAACAGGCUCCUGGAAUCCCUGUGAAUCUGUUGCUGAAUACUAAGCUGCACAUGCAUAAGGUGAAACUUCACAGUGCGAUGCAAAGAACUACUGCGGAGCUGUGAGCUGAUUGGUUCCCAGGGCUCACUGGGCAAUGUUUGAGUUUCAACUCGCCAAUGUGAAGAAACCUUGCUGACUGUCCAGGGAAUUCAGUAGAAAUCCCAAAAGGGUAAGGCAUUAGGAGAAGGGCUAACUAAGCCGAAAAGUGAGGUAACUCUAGACUUCCUCCAACAAGGUUUAGAAAGCAGCCUCAAAAAGAGGAAGUUCAUCCGCUACUACCGUAACUGCCAGCCAAAACAAAUUUUACCAUUUUUAAAACAACAAAAUACAGACAUUUAACAACAUUAAAUUCAGAAUGUUAAAAAUACUAGAUAUGCAAAUAAGUAGGCAAAUAGAACCCAAAAUCAGGAGAAAAAUCAUUUAAUAGAAACAAACCCCAAAAUGACAGAGAUAAUAACGUUAGCAGACAAGGACUUAAAAAAUUAAAAUAAAACAAGGAUUUAAAGGAAAACAUGAACAUAGUGAAGAAAAAACUGGAAGAUAUAGAAAAUAACCAAAUGGAACUUCUGGAGCUAAAAAAUACAACACCUGUAAUGAAUAAUUCAGUGGCUGAACUUAACAGUAGGUUAGACAUUGUGGAAUG